This 253-nucleotide ribosomal RNA is filed under the name uncultured bacterium. RNAcentral describes it as "partial 16S ribosomal RNA". It matches the Rfam family "Bacterial small subunit ribosomal RNA", at positions 524 to 776 of the family's 1533-position model. The record is from RNAcentral.
UACGUAGGGGGCAAGCGUUGUCCGGAUUUAUUGGGCGUAAAGAGCGUGUAGGCGGCCAGACAGGUCAGCUGUGAAAACUCGAGGCUCAACCUCGAGACGUCGGUUGAAACCGUCUGGCUAGAGUCCGGAAGAGGAGAGUGGAAUUCCCGGUGUAGCGGUGAAAUGCGCAGAUAUCGGGAAGAACACCCGUGGCGAAGGCGGCUCUCUGGGACGGUACUGACGCUGAGACGCGAAAGCGUGGGGAGCAAACGGG